AUGCUGCCGUCGCACCUCAACGGCCACUCCCCGCUCGCGCGCCGCCGCCCCCACCUCCCCGCGGCCACCCCGCCCGCCGCCGCCGCCGGGGACCCCCCGGCGGCGGGCCCGGCGGGGGAUGCCGCGCUGGAGGCGCACGACCGCGUCUACUUCCAGUCCUACUCCCACAUCGGCAUCCACGAGUCCAUGAUCAAGGACAGGGUCAGGACCGACGCGUAUCGCGAAGCAAUCAUGCUCCACCAGAAGUUCAUCGAGGGGAAGGUUGUGAUGGACGUGGGGUGUGGGACUGGGAUACUCUCGGUGUUCUGUGCUCGUGCCGGCGCGAAACGGGUUUAUGCUGUGGAUGCUAGUGAAAUCGCUACCCAGGCUAGUGAAAUUGUAAAAGCGAACAAUUUAGCUGAUAAGAUCGUGGUCAUUCAUGGACGUGUUGAGGAUGUUGAUGUUGAGGAGAAGGUUGAUGUAAUAAUAUCAGAAUGGAUGGGUUAUAUGCUUCUCUACGAGAGUAUGCUGCCAAGCGUUCUAUUUGCAAGGGAUAAAUGGCUUAAGCCAGGGGGUCUUAUCCUGCCUUCUCAUGCUACGCUUUUCAUGGCGCCUAUAACAAAUUCUGAUAGAUAUGAAGGAAGCAUUGAUUUCUGGUGUGAUGUUUAUGGCAUAAACAUGUCUGCUCUUGUGCCACUUGCCAAAAAAUUCGCAUCCGAGGAGCCCUCCAUUGAAAUAAUUGGUGGAGAAAAUGUUAUAAGUUGGCCAUUUGUGGUGAAGCACAUUGAUUGCUACACUUUUACGGUUGAGGAAUUCAAGUCUAUCACCACAACGUACAAAGUUUCAUCAAUGAUGUUAGCUCCAAUUCACGGCUUUGGUCUCUGGUUUGAGGUGGAGUUCAAUGGGCCUGCAGAGUCUUGUAGCAAUUUGUCCUCUGAUUUGAGUCCACUUGAUAUUAUUCAGAAGAAAAGGCGAAGGGCAUCAGAUAGCACAGUCGUGCUGUCCACAGCCCCAGAAGACGAGCCAACCCAUUGGCACCAGACAAUUUUGUACUUCCCUGAUCCUAUAGGGGUAACGCAGGAUCAAAUCAUAGAAGGUUCUGUAACAAUCACCCCGAGCGAGGAGAAUCCACGCUGUCUGAAUAUUCACUUGGAGUGCUCGUAA
Molecule: ribosomal RNA, 1143 nt
Filed under: Triticum aestivum (bread wheat)
Lineage: Eukaryota; Viridiplantae; Streptophyta; Magnoliopsida; Poales; Poaceae
Description: partial small subunit ribosomal RNA
Source: RNAcentral